This 110-nucleotide small nuclear RNA is filed under the name Heterocephalus glaber (naked mole-rat). The record is from RNAcentral. Lineage: Eukaryota; Metazoa; Chordata; Mammalia; Rodentia; Bathyergidae.
GUGCUCGCUUCGGCAGCACAUACACUCAAAAAAUUGGAACGAUACAGAGAAGAUUAGCAUGGCCCCUGCACAAGGAUGACACGCAAAUUCGUGACGCGUUCCAUAUUUUU